GCCGGGCAUGGUGGCGCACACCUAUAAUCCCAGCAGCUCAGGAGGCUGAGGCAGGAGGAUCGUGAAUUCAAAGCCAGCCUCAGCAAUGGUGAGGCGCUAAGCAACUCAGUGAGACCCUGUCUCUA
RNAcentral lists this small RNA (125 nucleotides) under Marmota monax (woodchuck). The record is from RNAcentral. Lineage: Eukaryota; Metazoa; Chordata; Mammalia; Rodentia; Sciuridae.